UACGUAGGGGGCGAGCGUUGUCCGGAAUUAUUGGGCGUAAAGAGCGUGUAGGCGGCUCGUCGCGUCAGCUGUGAAAACCCGCGGCUUAACCGUGGGCUUGCAGCUGAUACGGGCGGGCUAGAGUUCGGUAGGGGAGACUGGAAUUCCUGGUGUAGCGGUGAAAUGCGCAGAUAUCAGGAGGAACACCGGUGGCGAAGGCGGGUCUCUGGGCCGAUACUGACGCUGAGGAGCGAAAGCGUGGGGAGCGAACAGG
Molecule: ribosomal RNA, 253 nt
Filed under: uncultured bacterium
Lineage: Bacteria
Description: partial 16S ribosomal RNA
Rfam family: Bacterial small subunit ribosomal RNA
Source: RNAcentral